Molecule: long non-coding RNA, 259 nt
Filed under: Oryza brachyantha (malo sina)
Lineage: Eukaryota; Viridiplantae; Streptophyta; Magnoliopsida; Poales; Poaceae
Description: long non-coding RNA (OBRA_LNC000368)
Source: RNAcentral
UAAAGUUGCGUGAGGACGGGCAUCGACCAUGCCAUCCUCGGAGGCCAAUCCACUCUUUGACCCCUGCGAGUCCGCGACGACAAAAGCAGCAGGAGCAGCCAAGCCAACCAUCGUCAUCCAGCACGGCACCGGAGGGAGGGAGGCGAAGGUGUGGCACCACCACGCGACCACCCAACCCAACCCAACCCAACCAAACCCGUCAUCCCCUCUCCCUCUCCCACUCCCACCAACCCAAACCCCAGCCGCAACCGCCGCCCCN